Molecule: signal recognition particle RNA, 266 nt
Filed under: Peptococcaceae bacterium
Lineage: Bacteria; Bacillati; Bacillota; Clostridia; Eubacteriales; Peptococcaceae
Description: signal recognition particle sRNA large type
Rfam family: Bacterial large signal recognition particle RNA
About the family: The signal recognition particle (SRP) is a universally conserved ribonucleoprotein involved in the co-translational targeting of proteins to membranes. Archaeal SRP consists of a 7S RNA and homologues of the eukaryotic SRP19 and SRP54 proteins. In most bacteria, the SRP consists of a 4.5S RNA and the Ffh protein (a homologue of the eukaryotic SRP54 protein).
Source: RNAcentral
CCGUACUACACGGGGAGGCAGCGGUUCCCUGUACCCGCAGUCCGCUACAGCGGGGUGGAAUUCCCGGACUGAGGGCUGAUUUUGUGGGGUCUGACCUUGAUAAGCAGCGUUGACGAUUGGGUCCUGCGCAAUGGAAUCUUGUGAACCCUGUCAGGUCCGGAAGGAAGCAGCAGUAAGCAAAUCGUUCUGUGUGCCGCGGGGCAGCCUGGUCUGAGCCGGCUGUCAGGGAUACGCCCGGAAAGUCAUGUUCGAAGCUGGGUGUACGG